Molecule: RNA transcript, 1342 nt
Organism: Sapajus apella (tufted capuchin)
Lineage: Eukaryota; Metazoa; Chordata; Mammalia; Primates; Cebidae
Gene name: gap junction alpha-1 protein-like
Exons: 1
Source: RefSeq, a predicted model, not a curated record
CUAAAUGUCUGCUAUGACAAGUCUUUCCCAAUCUCUCAUGUACGCUUCUGGGUCCUGCAGAUCAUAUUUGUGUCUGUACACACAAUCUUGUACCUGACUCAUGUGUCCCAUGUGACAUGAAAGGAAGAGAAACUGAACAAGAAAGAGGAGGAACUCAAGGCUGCCCAAACUGAUGAUGUCAAUGUGGACAUGCACUUGAAGCAGACUGAUCAAGAAGUUCAACUAUGGUAUUGAAGACCAUGGCAAGGUGAAAAUGCAAGGAGGGUUGCUGCGAACCUACAUCAUCAGUAUCCUCUUCAAGUCUAUCUUCCAGGUGGCUUUCUUGCUGAUCCAGUGGUACAUCUGUGGAUUCAGCUUGAGUGCCAUUUACACUUCAAAAGAGAUCCCUGCCCACAUCAGGUGGACUGCUUCCUCUCUUGCCUCACAGAGAAAACCAUCUUCACCAUCUUCAUGCUGGUGGUGUCCUUGGUGUCUGUUGCCUUGAAUAUCAUUGAACUCUUCUAUGUUUUCUGAAGGGCAUUAAGGAUCAGCUUAAGGGAAACAGUGACCCUUACCAUGCCACCACUGGCUCACUGAGCCCUGCCAAAAACUGUGGGUCUCCAAAAUAUUUUUAUUUCAGUGGCUGCUCCUCACCAACCGCUCCCCUCUCACCCACGUCUACUCCUAUGUCCAAGCUAGUUGCUGGCCACAGAAACCAUUCUUGCCGCAAUUACAACAAGCAAGCAAGUGAGCAAAACUGGGCUAAUUACAGUGCAGAACAAAACCAAAUGGGGCAGGUGGGAAGCACCAUCUCUAACUCCCAUGCACAGCCUUUUGAUUUCCCUGAUGAUAAUGAGAAUUCUAAAAAAACUAGCUGCUGUACACAAACUACAGCCACUAGCCAUUGUGAACCAGCAACCUUCAAGUAGAGCCACCAGUCAUGACAGCAGCAAACUUCGGCUUGAUGAUCUGGAGAUCUAGAUACAGGCUUAAAAGCAUCAAGAUUCCACUCAAUUGUGGAGAAGAAAAAAGGUGCUGUAGAAAGUGCACCAGGUGUUAAUUUUGAUCCAGUGGAGGUGGUAUGCAACAGCCUUAUUCAUGAAGCUUAGAAAACACAAAAACAUUAGAAUACCUAGGUUCAUUGAGGUUGUCUGGGGUAGCUAGGUGGAGGGGGAGGGGAUAAGAGAGGUACAUGUUGGUAUUUAAAGUAGUGGACUCAAAUAACUUAGACUAUAAAUAAGAGUUCCAUUAGGUGAUACAUAGAUAAGGGCUUUUUCUCCCAGCAAACACCCAUAAGAAUGGUUCUGUGUAUGUGAAUGAGUGGGUGGUAAUUGUGACUAAAUAUUUUUGUUUUACCAAGAAA